This is a long non-coding RNA of Hypanus sabinus (Atlantic stingray), 1684 nucleotides long. RefSeq lists it as uncharacterized. The transcript is spliced from 3 exons. The record is from RefSeq and is a predicted model, not a curated record. NCBI's taxonomy places the organism in Eukaryota, Metazoa, Chordata, Chondrichthyes, Myliobatiformes, Dasyatidae.
ACGUUAUUGAAGAUGCACAGUGCAUAACAUACUAGUUUCUUCUGUUACUUUUUUUUUACUGUAUAACUUCAGGAACCAAAGAAAAAAAGCUUUUUGAUAAAAUUGACGGGCAAGAUGAAAGCCAGAUGUACAGCGGUUUCAGGUCCUAUGAGGUGUCUGCUUCACUGCCUGGGCUAUAAACUUUGAUAAGAAUGAACAUCUUGGAGGCCCACUCUUGUGUGUGUGUGUACACAUUGCCAGAUGUUAACCAGAUGGUGUAACCCAAGGGAAACCUGUAGCACUGAUAAUGUCAUACAGAUGAGAUCACUAAUAACUGCAAGUGAGUUUGAAAUCCUCUUCCUGUGCCAGCCUAACCCAAACAAAUAUGCUACAUCAUUGCUGCAGUGGCUAUAUUUCAAUUAGCAACAGACAGAAUAAAUAGUUAUAAAUCAUUGGUACGUGUGUCUAAGUAACAUUCAGGAUAAAGCCAAAAUCUUUGUAAAAGUAGUGUUAUUCUUUGUCAUCUUCUUUCGAAAUAAUUGUAUGUGCCCCACUUAUUUAAACAAUAAAAUCAACGCAGUUAUAACAUACAAAUCUGAAUUUCCAUUAGUGGGAGAGUAAACUGCACUUUGUAUCCCCUGCUUUUUCGAGGCCCAAGAGGAAGAAUUCCUAAUGUUGCAAUGUCAGCUGUACAAUGUAAUUUUUGUGGAAAUGAGGAUUGCUGGAGCUACACACUGCUUAGAUAAAUCUUGUAGCGUUCUCUGGAGCAUGCUCAUGGACAUUUAAACAUGGAGAGCCAGAGAUUCCUCUUAAAGAUAACCUGCUCUUCUAUACAUGGUGACAUACUUGGCGUGAAACAUCAGUUCUGCAGUAAUAGAUAGUUGCAAAGCAAGGAAUCCGAAGGAGCCCAAUUAAAGAAAAGACCAACCCCGCUGACCACAGAGAAAGAAAGAAAAACAAAUCAUGUAAACAACGGAAGUGAGAAACAAUAACAAUAUUUCAAACCAAAUUGAGUCUUUGGAUCCAAAUCCCUGGAGUAGGUCCAAAGCCUUAGUAUUCAGUUAAUCAAAUUAGCGGGAAAAUCACUGCAAAGUUUGCAGACAUGAAGCACAGCAGCUGGGGAGCAGUCUCACAGCAUAGCAUCAUGGAAAGAGGAGCCCCCACACUAUUUGGGCUGGCAUUCAAAUUGUUCAGGCAUUGCACUAGGACACAGCCCCACCGCCGUUGAAUCACUCUGGGCCCAGAUUUUGCUGCCAGCAAAGCUGUUCUCGACCUCUAUAAAUUGGCUUGAUGCCCAGACCAAUCCAACCUCGCCCAACUCGCAACAGCCUGCCUUUCAUGUCUAUCUGGGCCAGCACUUAGGUUGUCCAAACGGCGGAUUGUACCUCGAGUUAGGACCCAGGCCUUGUUGCAGCGAAUCCCUCCAGGCCUUGAAUGCGCCACCCAGUGAUUCACUUCGGACUUGGAUUUCACUGCUGAAGAAGCCGUUCUCAACCUCUCCAAAUCGGCUCAGCACUUAGAAUGAUCAACUCUCGCUCCCGGGCCAGCUGAAUGGGCAUUGCAACUUCUCUGUCCUGUCUUCUCCCCUCCAAAUCGUUCACUCCAGCCAGCACGGCUCCAACUCCAAAUGCAUCGAUUUUGCAGUGGACCAGCAGGGCUCGUCUUGUGAAUUUGCUAUGCCUUCGCUCACUUCUUCAAUGUUUGC